RNAcentral lists this long non-coding RNA (423 nucleotides) under Homo sapiens (human). RNAcentral's name for it is "HSALNT0215787". The record is from RNAcentral. Lineage: Eukaryota; Metazoa; Chordata; Mammalia; Primates; Hominidae.
GGGGCCUGUGCCGGGUGCACCUCGCGAGCUAGCUGCCGCCCCGCCUGUGUCGCGGUCGUACCCUCCGCCCUCUGCGCCGAGAGCCGCUGCCGCCCGAGACCUUCGAGGGCUCCUCGCCCCUGCUUCCUGGGAGACCCUCUCCGCUGGGAGAGUCGCAGUCACGGAGCCGGGGGACACCUCCGGGCGUGGUGGAGCACAUCUGAGGGCCCAGCUACUCGGGAGCUGAGGCAGGAGGAUCCCUUAAGCCUGGGAAGUCAAGGCUGCAGUGAGCCGAGAUGGGUGCCACUUCACUCCAGCCUAGGCGACAGAGUGAGACUUGCAGAAGGAAAGAGAGAAAAGAAAUACAGUAACAGUUAAUAAAAUUCUUAACACACAUGUAAUAAUGUAUUUUACUCACACAUUAAAUAACAAGACUAAAGUUGC